This 21-nucleotide microRNA is filed under the name Ectocarpus siliculosus. Its description in RNAcentral is "esi-miR3452-5p". The record is from miRBase by way of RNAcentral. Lineage: Eukaryota; Phaeophyceae; Ectocarpales; Ectocarpaceae.
UACAUAGACCAGUUCGGACGG